Sapajus apella (tufted capuchin) is the source of this 2730-nucleotide RNA transcript. It is a transcript of the gene named TNF receptor associated protein 1, with no coding region annotated. The transcript is spliced from 19 exons. NCBI's taxonomy places the organism in Eukaryota, Metazoa, Chordata, Mammalia, Primates, Cebidae. The record is from RefSeq and is a predicted model, not a curated record.
AGGACGUCCCCGCUCGGCCCUGCUCGGCCCCGCCCCGCCCUGCCCCGUCCCGUCCCGCGUAGCUGCGCGCGGCGCUCUGGGAGGAUAACAUGGCGCGCGAGCUGCGGGCGGUGUUGCUGUGGAGCAGCCGACUGCGGCCUCUGCUGCGGGCGCCGGUGCUGGCUGCCGCCCCGGGAGGAAAACCAAUUCCGUGUCCACGGAGGACUACAGCCCAGUUCUGCCCCAGGCGAAACCCGGCCUGGAGCUUCCAGGCAGGACAGCCAUUCAGCACGCAAACCGCAGAGGACAAGGAGGAACCCCUGCACUCGAUAAUCAGCAGCACAGAAAGCGUGCAGGGUUCUACUUCCAAACAUGAGUUCCAGGCCGAGACAAAGAAGCUUUUGGACAUUGUUGCCCGGUCCUUGUACUCAGAAAAAGAGGUGUUUAUACGGGAGCUGAUCUCCAAUGCCAGCGAUGCCUUGGAAAAACUGCGUCACAAACUGGUGUCUGACGGCCAAGCACUGCCGGAAAUGGAGAUUCACUUGCAGACCGAUGCCGACAAAGGCACCAUCACUAUCCAGGAUACUGGCAUCGGGAUGACACAGGAAGAGCUGGUGUCCAACCUGGGGACGAUCGCCAGAUCGGGGUCAAAGGCCUUCCUGGAUGCUCUGCAGAACCAGGCUGAGGCCAGCAGCAAGAUCAUCGGCCAGUUUGGAGUGGGUUUCUACUCGGCCUUCAUGGUGGCCGACAGAGUGGAGGUCUAUUCCCGCUCGGCAUCCCUGGGGAGCCCUGGUUACCAGUGGCUUUCCAACGGCUCUGGAGUGUUUGAAAUCGCGGAAGCUUCGGGAGUUAGAACUGGGACGAAAAUCAUCAUCCACCUGAAAUCUGACUGCAGGGAGUUUGCCAGUGAGGCCCGGGUGCGAGAUGUGGUGACGAAGUAUAGCAACUUCGUCAGCUUCCCCUUGUACCUGAACGGAAGGCGACUGAACACCUUGCAGGCCAUCUGGAUGAUGGACCCCAAGGACAUCGGUGAGUGGCAGCAUGAGGAGUUCUACCGUUACAUUGCACAGGCUUACGACAGGCCCCGCUACACCCUGCACUAUAAGACGGACGCGCCGCUCAACAUCCGCAGCAUCUUCUACGUGCCGGACACGAAACCAUCCGUGUUUGAUGUGAGCCGGGAGUUGGGCUCCAGCGUCGCACUGUACAGCCGCAAAGUCCUCAUCCAGACCAAGGCCACAGACAUUCUGCCCAAGUGGCUGCGCUUCAUCCGAGGUGUGGUGGACAGUGAGGACAUUCCCCUGAACCUCAGCCGGGAGCUGCUGCAGGAGAGUGCACUCAUCAGGAAACUCCGGGAUGUUUUACAGCAGAGGCUGAUCAAAUUCUUCGUUGAUCAGAGUAAAAAAGAUGCUGAGAAGUAUGCAAAGUUUUUUGAAGAUUAUGGCCUGUUUAUGCGGGAGGGCAUUGUGACCACUGCCGAGCAGGAGGUCAAGGAGGACAUAGCAAAGCUGCUGCGCUACGAGUCCUCUGCACUGCCAGCCGGGCAGCUAACCAGCCUCUCGGAAUAUGCCAGCCGCAUGCGGGCUGGCACCCGCAACAUCUAUUACCUGUGUGCCCCCAACCGGCACCUGGCAGAGCACUCGCCCUACUACGAAGCCAUGAAACAGAAAGACACAGAGGUUCUCUUCUGCUAUGAGCAGUUUGAUGAGCUCACCCUGCUGCACCUUCGUGAGUUUGACAAGAAGAAGCUGAUCUCCGUGGAGACGGACAUUGUCGUGGAUCACUACAAGGAGGAGAAGUUUGAGGAUGGAUCCCCAGCUACUGAGCGCCUGUCAGAGGAGGAGACAGAGGAGCUCAUGGCCUGGAUGAGAAACGUGUUGGGGUCGCGUGUCACCAACGUGAAGGUGACCUUCCGACUGGACACCCACCCUGCUAUGGUCACCGUGCUGGAGAUGGGGGCCGCCCGGCACUUCCUGCGCAUGCAGCAGCUGGCCAAGACCCAGGAGGAGCGAGCACAGCUCCUGCAGCCCACGCUGGAGAUCAACCCCAGGCAUGCACUCAUCAAGAAGCUGAAUCAGCUGCGGGUGAGCGAACCUGGCCUGGCUCAGCUGCUGGUGGAUCAGAUAUAUGAGAAUGCCAUGAUAGCCGCUGGGCUCGUUGAUGACCCCAGGGCCAUGGUAGGCCGCCUGAAUGAGCUGCUUGUCAAGGCCCUGGAGCGACACUGACAACCAGAGGCCUCUGCUCAGGCAGGGGAAGGAGGAUUGACACCACAGAUGACAGCCCCACAUCCUUGAGCUUUAUUUACCUAAAUUAAAAGACCGGCCAGUCACCCAGAGGGACUCCACCGGCUGCUCACCUGAGAUGCUGGUGAUGUCCUCAGAGAUGAUGAGAGUGCUGUCAAGAAUCUAGAAUAUCCUUUGAUGUCAAUUUCCUCCUUUCCCUGCUUUAAGAAAAUAAGCAGUUUAUGAAGAGAGGUCUCUGAAGAAGCACUUCAAGGCCCUGGCAGUGCUGCUGGGCUCUGGAUCUUGCACACGCAGUACAAGUCCUGGGAGUUUUAAAGGUUCAGGCAACUGUGACCUUCCCUGGGGCACGUGUGCCCUGUCACCUGAGGGUGCCAAAAACAAUGGCGCUGUGUGGCUUUCCGCACAGGUGGGUUGCUGGAAUGUGCUUAUUUCUGUAGGUACAAGUUUCUUGCUGCUGUGAAAAUUGCACCUGAUAAUCAUGUUUGCAUUUAAAGUGUCUGAUAACAAG